UUUCGAUAAAAUAACUAUUCCACAAACAAAUGAAAGAGUUCUCUUGUACUGAAAUGCGUACGGCUAAUAUACCGCUGGAAUUAUUUAUUCAUUCUGUGUACCAAGCAAGGAUUUGAACUAUGAAAACUGAUGUGUAAUAUUUGCAACAAGUGAUCAUAUUGACUAUGAAAUAACAAAUUAGAAGAUACAAAGUUACAAAUGAAAGAAACGUUUUCGCAUUUAUCGUCGUGUCUCUCUUCAAAGAACUGAGCUUAGAAACCAUGUAUUGUUCAUGAAAAAUGGCUGGUGAAAAUACAAUUUUUGACCUCCCAGCGGCCUAUUUCUUUUUAGGAUUGCUAUUUGUUCUUUCAAGUAUUUUGUUUUCAUGCUGUGCCAUUAAGUAAGAACGCUCUUUAUUUGAUAAUUUUAUGUUACUAUCCCU
This is a long non-coding RNA of Stegodyphus dumicola, 421 nucleotides long. Lineage: Eukaryota; Metazoa; Arthropoda; Arachnida; Araneae; Eresidae. The record is from RefSeq and is a predicted model, not a curated record.